This 301-nucleotide ribosomal RNA is filed under the name uncultured bacterium. Its description in RNAcentral is "partial 16S ribosomal RNA". It matches the Rfam family "Bacterial small subunit ribosomal RNA", at positions 509 to 809 of the family's 1533-position model. The record is from RNAcentral.
CAGCAGCCACGGUAAUACAGAGGGUGCGAGCGUUAAUCGGAUUUACUGGGCGUAAAGCGUGCGUAGGCGGCUUCUUAAGUCGGAUGUUAAAUCCCUGAGCUUAACUUGAAUUGCAUUCGAUACUGGGAAGCUAGAGUAUGGGAGAGGAUGGUAGAAUUCCAGGUGUAGCGGUGAAAUGCGUAGAGAUCUGGAGGAAUACCGAUGGCGAAGGCAGCCAUCUGGCCUAAUACUGACGCUGAGGUACGAAAGCAUGGGGAGCAAACAGGAUUAGAUACCCGUGUAGUCCCUGUCUCUUAUACAC